UACGUAGGGAGCUAGCGUUGUUCGGAAUUACUGGGCGUAAAGCGCACGUAGGCGGCUUUUUAAGUCAGGGGUGAAAUCCCGGGGCUCAACCCCGGAACUGCCCUUGAAACUGGAGAGCUAGAAUCUUGGAGAGGCGAGUGGAAUUCCGAGUGUAGAGGUGAAAUUCGUAGAUAUUCGGAAGAACACCAGUGGCGAAGGCGACUCGCUGGACAAGUAUUGACGCUGAGGUGCGAAAGCGUGGGGAGCAAACAGG
This 253-nucleotide ribosomal RNA is filed under the name uncultured bacterium. Its description in RNAcentral is "partial 16S ribosomal RNA". It matches the Rfam family "Bacterial small subunit ribosomal RNA", at positions 524 to 776 of the family's 1533-position model. The record is from RNAcentral.